Molecule: long non-coding RNA, 518 nt
Organism: Papilio machaon (common yellow swallowtail)
Lineage: Eukaryota; Metazoa; Arthropoda; Insecta; Lepidoptera; Papilionidae
Exons: 3
Source: RefSeq, a predicted model, not a curated record
UGUUGCUGGGUCAGGUAGGUAGUGAUCCUGACAAGUCUAUGGAGCAAUGGAUCAAGGACUACCAGUAGAGGAACAGUCAAAUGAGGAGCCUCCAGUUGAGGAACCAUCUAUCCAAAUACAAAUUUUGGAGCAGAUCACUGACAGUAAUUUAUUACAAUCCUGUUAUUUCAUUUAGAAAACAGAUAUGCAAAUCUAUUCUUCAGUUGAUGAUGAACAAAAUGAUAUAUAUGUUGCCUCCUCUUCAAGAGUAUAUGCUGCCCCAUCAUCAGUUCAAAGGAGAGGGAAAUGGCAUCCAGGACCCUCACUCACUGGCUUAUUAAUGUAAUGCUUAUGCUUUGAGAUGCAGUCUCAAAUGCAAAAACAUGUAACAUUUACAUUGGUUUUGGUUGUAACUUGUGUAAUUAAUGUUUAAGUGAAUAUUGAAAUAAAAAAUAAUUGUAUAUAAAUAAAGUUUAUUUUUAAUUUGUAAAACAUUCAUCUUCAUCAUAUUUCUUCUUAAAAAUUCACUUUUAGACAUU